GGAAUCAGGGUUCGAUUCCGGAGAGGGAGCCUGAGAAACGGCUACCACAUCCAAGGAAGGCAGCAGGCACGCAAAUUACCCAAUCCCAGAACGGGGAGGUAGUGACGAAAAAUAACAAUACGGGACUCUUAUGAGGCCCCGUAAUUGGAAUGAGAACAAUCUAAAUCCUUUAACGAGGAUCUAUUGGAGGGCAAGUCUGGUGCCAGCAGCCGCGGUAAUUCCAGCUCCAAUAGCGUAUAUUAAAGUUGUUGUGGUUAAAAAGCUCGUAGUUGGAUCUCAGUUCGAGUCAGGCGGUCCACUUGCCAGUGGCUACUGCCUGACUGAACACUUUACCGAGUUGUCCUAUGGUGUUCUUCACCGAGCGUCAUAGGCGAUCGGUACGUUUACUUUGAAAAAAUUAGAGUGCUCAAAGCAGGCGUAACGCCCGAAUAAUGUUGCAUGGAAUAAUGGAAUAGGACCUCGGUUCUAUUUUGUUGGUCUUCGGAAUCAGAGGUAAUGAUCAAUAGGGACAGACGGGGACAUUCGUAUUGCGGCGCUAGAGGUGAAAUUCUUGGACCGUCGCAAGACGAACUAAAGCGAAAGCAUUUGUCAAGAAUGUUUACAUUAAUCAAGAACGAAAGUUAGAGGUUCGAAGGCGAUCAGAUACCGCCCUAGUUCUAACCAUAAACGAUGCCAACCAGUAAUUCGUCUGAGUUCCUUAAAUGACUCGACGAGGGACUCCCGGGAAACCAAAGUCUUUCGGUUCCAGGGGAAGUAUGGUUGCAAAGCUGAAACUUAAAGAAAUUGACGGAAGGGCACCACCAGGAGUGGAGCCUGCGGCUUAAUUUGACCCAACACGGGAAAACUCACCCGGCCCGGACACUGGAAGGAUUGACAGAUUGAGAGCUCUUUCUUGAUUCAGUGGGUGGUGGUGCAUGGCCGUUCUUAGUUGGUGGAGUGAUUUGUCUGGUUAAUUCCGAUAACGAACGAGACUCUAGCCUACUAAAUAGAUCGUCGGCUUACAAACGCCGGCGAGACUUCUUAGAGGGACAGGCGGUGAUUCAACCGCACGAAGCAGAGCAAUAACAGGUCUGUGAUGCCCUUAGAUGUCCGGGGCCGCACGCGCGCUACACUGAAGUGAUCAGCGUGCUUUUUCAACCUACUCUGUCAAGAGUGGGGAACCCAAUGAACCUUCUUCGUGAUUGGGAUAGGGGAUUGUAAUUAUUCCCCUUGAACGAGGAAUUCCCAGUAAGCGCGAGUCAUAAGCUCGCGUUGAUUACGUCCCUGCCCUUUGUACGCACCGCCCGUCGCUACUACCGAUUGAAUGUUUUAGUGAGGUCUUCGGACUGGCCGGCGCAGCACUCUCGUAGUGCAGCGCUGUGUUUGGAAAGAUGCCCAAACUUGAACAUUUAGAGGAAGUAAAAGUCGUAACAAGGUU
Molecule: ribosomal RNA, 1417 nt
Filed under: metagenome
Description: SSU rRNA
Rfam family: Eukaryotic small subunit ribosomal RNA
Source: RNAcentral